This is a long non-coding RNA of Pieris brassicae (large cabbage white), 603 nucleotides long. RefSeq lists it as uncharacterized. NCBI's taxonomy places the organism in Eukaryota, Metazoa, Arthropoda, Insecta, Lepidoptera, Pieridae. The record is from RefSeq and is a predicted model, not a curated record. The transcript has 3 exons.
UUUGUUUCUAUAUUAUUAUUGCUUUUGUUUUUUUGCAUGUGAUCUGUGAUUUGAAUUACUUUUUGCGGACUAUUUUUACUGUUAUUACAAGUCGAUUUUGUGAAAACAAAUGUUCUUUGGAUGACGUUACUACUAUUUAUGGUCUUUGUACUUUACAAGAUUGCGAUGUAUUCUUCAAGGGUAUUCGCACGGCCAGAUUAGUACGCGAAAUCGAUUUCGCGAGAUACCAUUUCUACGAGAGAGUCGGUAUAUACGAACGCAGUAUUCAAUCGGGUAUAAAAUCAUUACAAGGAUCAACAAUGACUGUGGUUUAUGAGCCUCUUCCAAUUUUUGCGCUCUACAAAAUUACCACUAAGCUAGUUUACUGGGACGAAAGAUCUCUUUUUUUCGAACAUGAAGUAAUUACACUUCGCGAUGGUAAAGUCAGACAUCUCUUGAUAUCUCGACAAUAUGCUAUUGGAUCUACUAAAGCGACAACAAAGGUUCUUCUAAAAGGUCUACCCGGCUCGAGUAAUAUACCAAAGUGUCCAUCACACAUCGAAUGUUGGUUGAGAAGUAUGCAAAAAUCAAGUAAUAAGCUUCGUAAUAAACAGUAAGGGAUAA